This 504-nucleotide ribosomal RNA is filed under the name Woollsia root associated fungus XI. Its description in RNAcentral is "eukaryotic LSU rRNA". The stretch from base 154 to 307 matches the Rfam family "5.8S ribosomal RNA". Lineage: Eukaryota; Fungi; Ascomycota. The record is from RNAcentral.
AAGGAUCAUUACGUAGAGUUUGUAGAUUCGGUCUGNUACCUCUUACCCAUGUCUUUUGAGUACCUUCGUUUCCUCGGCGGGUCCGCCCGCCGAUUGGACAACAUUCAAACCCUUUGCAGUUGCAAUCAGCGUCUGAAAGAACAUAAUAGUUACAACUUUCAACAACGGAUCUCUUGGUUCUGGCAUCGAUGAAGAACGCAGCGAAAUGCGAUAAGUAGUGUGAAUUGCAGAAUUCAGUGAAUCAUCGAAUCUUUGAACGCACAUUGCGCCCCUUGGUAUUCCAUGGGGCAUGCCUGUUCGAGCGUCAUUUGUACCUUCAAGCUCUGCUUGGUGUUGGGUGUUUGUCUCGCCUCUGCGUGUAGACUCGCCUUAAAACAAUUGGCAGCCGGCGUAUUGAUUUCGGAGCGCAGUACAUCUCGCGCUUUGCACUCACAACGACGACGUCCAAAAGUACAUUUUUACACUCUUGACCUCGGAUCAGGUAGGGAUACCCGCUGAACUUAA